RNAcentral lists this ribosomal RNA (468 nucleotides) under uncultured bacterium. RNAcentral's name for it is "partial 16S ribosomal RNA". It matches the Rfam family "Bacterial small subunit ribosomal RNA", at positions 28 to 507 of the family's 1533-position model. The record is from RNAcentral.
GACGAACGCUGGCGGCGUGCUUAACACAUGCAAGUCGAACGGAAAGGCCCUGCUUUUGUGGGGUGCUCGAGUGGCGAACGGGUGAGUAACACGUGAGUAACCUGCCCUUGACUUUGGGAUAACUUCAGGAAACUGGGGCUAAUACCGGAUAGGAGCUCCUGCUGCAUGGUGGGGGUUGGAAAGUUUCGGCGGUUGGGGAUGGACUCGCGGCUUAUCAGCUUGUUGGUGGGGGAGUGGCUUACCAAGGCUUUGACGGGUAGCCGGCCUGGGAGGGUGACCGGUGACAUUGGGACUGAGAUACGGCCCAGACUCCUACGGGAGGCAGCAGUGGGGAAUAUUGCACAAUGGGCGGAAGCCUGAUGCAGCAACGCCGCGUGCGGGAUGACGGCCUUCGGGUUGUAAACCGCUUUCGCCUGUGACGAAGCGUGAGUGACGGUAAUGGGUAAAGAAGCACCGGCUAACUACGUG